UGGGGAAUUUUGGACAAUGGGCGAAAGCCUGAUCCAGCAAUGCCGCGUGUGUGAAGAAGGCCUUCGGGUUGUAAAGCACUUUUGUCCGGAAAGAAAAUCCUUGGCUCUAAUACAGUCGGGGGAUGACGGUACCGGAAGAAUAAGCACCGGCUAACUACGUGCCAGCAGCCGCGGUAAUACGUAGGGUGCAAGCGUUAAUCGGAAUUACUGGGCGUAAAGCGUGCGCAGGCGGUUUGCUAAGACCGAUGUGAAAUCCCCGGGCUCAACCUGGGAACUGCAUUGGUGACUGGCAGGCUAGAGUAUGGCAGAGGGGGGUAGAAUUCCACGUGUAGCAGUGAAAUGCGUAGAGAUGUGGAGGAAUACCGAUGGCGAAGGCAGCCCCCUGGGCCAAUACUGACGCUCAUGCACGAAAAGCGUGGGGAGCAAAACAGGAUUAGAUACCCUGGUAGUCCACGCCCUAAAACGAUGUCAACUAGUUGUUGGGGGAUUCAUUUCCUUAGUAACGUAGCUAACGCGUGAAGUUGACCGCCUGGGGAGUACGGUCGCAAGAUUAAAAACUUAAAUGAAUUGAC
This 572-nucleotide ribosomal RNA is filed under the name uncultured bacterium. RNAcentral describes it as "partial 16S ribosomal RNA". It matches the Rfam family "Bacterial small subunit ribosomal RNA", at positions 355 to 914 of the family's 1533-position model. The record is from RNAcentral.